UGCCAGCCGCCGCGGUAAUACGGAGGUGGCAAACGCUGUUCGGAAUCACUGGGCUUAAAGGGCGUGUAGGCGGCCGAUCAAGUCGGAUGUGAAAUCCCUCGGCUCAACCGAGGAACUGCAUUCGAUACUGGUCAGCUAGAGUGCGAGAGGGGUGAGUGGAACUCCAGGUGUAGCGGUGAAAUGCGUAGAUAUCUGGAGGAACGCCGGUGGCGAAAGCGACUCACUGGCUCGCAACUGACGCUGAGGCACGAAAGCUAGGGUAGCGAACGGGAUUAGAUA
Molecule: ribosomal RNA, 279 nt
Filed under: uncultured bacterium
Lineage: Bacteria
Description: partial 16S ribosomal RNA
Rfam family: Bacterial small subunit ribosomal RNA
Source: RNAcentral